Molecule: ribosomal RNA, 582 nt
Filed under: Tomentella sp. YM2070
Lineage: Eukaryota; Fungi; Basidiomycota; Agaricomycetes; Thelephorales; Thelephoraceae
Description: eukaryotic LSU rRNA
Rfam family: 5.8S ribosomal RNA (bases 183-337)
Source: RNAcentral
UUGUUGCUGGCCUCCAGCCGGAGGCACGUGCACGCUCUGUUCACACAUCCACUCACACCUGUGCACCCUUUAUAGUUCUGUGGCCCGGGUAACUUUGUUCCCUCGCCGUGGUUCUAUAUCUUUACAAACACGUCGUAGUUAAGUCUUGUGGAAUGUAUGCCGCGUUUAACGCAAUACAAUACAACUUUCAGCAACGGAUCUCUUGGCUCUCGCAUCGAUGAAGAACGCAGCGAAAUGCGAUAAGUAAUGUGAAUUGCAGAAUUCAGUGAAUCAUCGAAUCUUUGAACGCACCUUGCGCCCUCUGGCUAUUCCGGAGGGCAUGCCUGUUUGAGUAUCAUGAACACCUCAACUCUCACGGCUUGCCGUGAUGAGCUUGGACUUUGGGGGUCUUGCUGGCCUGCGGUCAGCUCCUCUCAAAUCAAUCAGCUUGCCAGUGUUUGGUGGCAUCACGGGUGUGAUAACUAUCUACGCUUGUGGUGUUUCCACCAGGUGUUCUCCAGCAAUGGGGGCCUCUGGAGCUAAUAAAUGUCUCUCCGGAGACAGCUUUUUGAACGUUUGAUCUCAAAUCAGUAGGACUACCGC